CCUACGGGAGGCAGCAGUGAGGAAUAUUGGUCAAUGGGCGGAAGCCUGAACCAGCCAAGUAGUUUGCGGGAUGAAGGCCCUACGGGUCGUCAACCGCUUUUGCACGGGGAUAACACCCUCCACUUGUGGAGGUCUGCAGGUACCGUGCGAAUAAGGGCCGGCUAAUUCCGUGCCAGCAGCCGCGGUAAUACGGAAGGCCCGAGCGUUAUCCGGAUUCAUUGGGCUAAAAGGGAGCGUAGGCGGGCGUUCAAGUCAGCGGUAAAAUCGCGCGGCUCAACCGCGCCCCGCAGUUGAAACUGGACGCCUUGAGUUCACAACAGGCAGGCGGAAUUCGUGGUGUAGCGGUGAAAUGCAUAGAUAUCACGAGGAACCCCGAUUGCGAAGGCAGCCUGCCGGGGUGCGACUGACGCUGAGGCUCGAAGGUGCGGGUAUCAAACAGGAUUAGAUACCCGGGUAGUC
Molecule: ribosomal RNA, 459 nt
Filed under: uncultured bacterium
Lineage: Bacteria
Description: partial 16S ribosomal RNA
Rfam family: Bacterial small subunit ribosomal RNA
Source: RNAcentral